RNAcentral lists this ribosomal RNA (634 nucleotides) under Martinezella tropici. RNAcentral describes it as "bacterial SSU rRNA". It matches the Rfam family "Bacterial small subunit ribosomal RNA", at positions 44 to 725 of the family's 1533-position model. Lineage: Bacteria; Pseudomonadati; Pseudomonadota; Alphaproteobacteria; Hyphomicrobiales; Rhizobiaceae. The record is from RNAcentral.
AGGCUUAACACAUGCAAGUCGAGCGCCCCGCAAGGGGAGCGGCAGACGGGUGAGUAACGCGUGGGAAUCUACCUUUUGCUACGGAAUAACGCAGGGAAACUUGUGCUAAUACCGUAUGUGUCCUUCGGGAGAAAGAUUUAUCGGCAAGAGAUGAGCCCGCGUUGGAUUAGCUAGUUGGUGGGGUAAAGGCCUACCAAGGCGACGAUCCAUAGCUGGUCUGAGAGGAUGAUCAGCCACAUUGGGACUGAGACACGGCCCAAACUCCUACGGGAGGCAGCAGUGGGGAAUAUUGGACAAUGGGCGCAAGCCUGAUCCAGCCAUGCCGCGUGAGUGAUGAAGGCCCUAGGGUUGUAAAGCUCUUUCACCGGAGAAGAUAAUGACGGUAUCCGGAGAAGAAGCCCCGGCUAACUUCGUGCCAGCAGCCGCGGUAAUACGAAGGGGGCUAGCGUUGUUCGGAAUUACUGGGCGUAAAGCGCACGUAGGCGGAUCGAUCAGUCAGGGGUGAAAUCCCAGGGCUCAACCCUGGAACUGCCUUUGAUACUGUCGAUCUGGAGUAUGGAAGAGGUGAAUGGAAUUCCGAGUGUAGAGGUGRAAUUCGUAGAUAUUCGGAGGAACACCAGUGGGCGAAAGCCGG